GAGCUUUUUAGCAGAGGACCUCACUAGGCAGCACCACAUUCGAGAAACCCCUGGAGCCUGGAGAACGACUUGCUGUAGCAUUGAGAAGCAAUGCUUCCUAACGUAUCCAGCCUACGACUGCCUGCUGAAGCCAGCGAUGCUUCUGACUGCGGACUGCUGUGGUGUGCCUCAGAAUCCUCAGGAACCAGAACUUCUUGAAACAUCGGUGAUUCAAGAGAUUCCAAAAUGUCCUGAGACUCCACAGACUCAUGCGACGCCGAAGACAGAGUUGAUGCUGGCGCUUGUGACUCUUCACUUGACGGUGAUGGCACUUCAAGUGUUGCCAGAUCGGAAAACUGGCACAUUUUUUGUUAAUAUGUCUGCAGCACUUCCCUCCUCACUCGAUGGGGGCACUGGUGGAAGGCUGGCGGACAUCCUGCAUGUAAGCGUAAUAAGGUUUGCACAUACUGUCAAUGUGUAAAUAAUGUGCCAGUCUGGAUGCAAAAAUAUAUGAAGGCUCAAAUCCGUCCACA
This 512-nucleotide long non-coding RNA is filed under the name Dermacentor andersoni. RNAcentral's name for it is "uncharacterized LOC126526172". The record is from RNAcentral. Lineage: Eukaryota; Metazoa; Arthropoda; Arachnida; Ixodida; Ixodidae.